CCCAAAAUAUAUGCUAAGUGGCAAAGGAUGUAAAUAGACGUAGACAACCAGGAGGUUUGCUUAGAAGCAGCCAAGUUCCUUUAAAAAGUGCGUAAUAGCUUACUGGUCAAGUCCAUUUGCGCCGAUAAUGUAUGGGACUAAGCAUUUUGCCGAAACUGUGAGUUUACGGUAGGAGAGCGUUCUGCUCAGGCUGAAGUAAAAAUGGAAGUUUUUAUGGACUUAGCAGAAGUGAGAAUGUCGGCUUAAGUAACGAAAACACUAGUGAGAAUCUAGUGCUCCGAAAACCAAAGGAUUCCUUUGCAAGGUUCGUCCACAAAGGGUUAGUCAGGUCCUAAAAUGAGGCUCAAAAGCGUAGUUGAUGGAAAACAGGUUAAUAUUCCUGUACUGCACCUAGUUUGAUUAAGGGUGACGAAAAAGGUUAUAGUCAGCCAGUUUUUGGAAUCUGGUUUAAGCUUUCGAGGUUUCGAGAAGUAUUAAUAAAAGAUACUUUGAGCUGAGAAGCAAAUAUUUUUUUACUAAGGUAAAGAAAUGACUUUAGUCAUGUUUCCUAGAAAAACCCUAGUAAUUCCAUUAACUAGAAUGCACCUGUACCUUAAACUGACACAGGUCGGUAGGUAGAGUAUACUAAGGAGAGCGAGAUAACCCUUUUUAAGGAACUCGGCAAAAUGGCCUUGUAACUUCGGGAGAAAAGGUGCCCUGGUGGAAACCAGGGUUGCAGUGAUCAGAUCCAGGCGACUGUUUAUCAAAAACACAGGUCUCCGCAAAGUUGAAAAACUAUGUAUGGGGGCUGACGCCUGCCCAGUGCCGGAAGGUGAAAGAAACUUGUUAGUUUUGCGAAGCUCGUGACUUAAGCCCCGGUGAACGGCGGCAGUAACUAUAACUGUCCUAAGGUAGCGAAAUUCCUUGUCGGGUAAGUUCCGACCUGCACGAAAGGCGUAACGAUCUGGAUACUGUCUCAAAAAGGGACUCGGUGAAAUAGAACUAACUGUGAAGAUGCGGUUAACUUACACUUGGACAGAAAGACCCUAUGAAGCUUUACUGUAGUUUGAAAUUGAUUUUCGACUUUCUUUGCGCAGAAUAGGUGGGAGGCUUUGAUUUAUUCCUUCCGGGGAAUAUUGAGCCGUCCGUGAGAUACCACUUUAAGAAAGUUAAAAAUCUAAUUGCGUUUCCUUAUAGGGACGCCUGACCCUUUCAGAUGGGCAGUUUUACUGGGGCGGUAGCCUCCUAAAAGGUAACGGAGGCUUACAAAGGUUUUCUCAAGCUGGUCGGAAAUUAGCUUUGGAGUGUAAAGACAUAAGAAAGCUUAACUGUUAGACUUAUAAGUCAAGCAGUGACGAAAGUCGGUCUUAGUGAUCCGACGUUACUUAAUGGGAAGGACGUCGCUCAAAAGAUAAAAGUUACUCUAGGGAUAACAGGCUGAUCUCCCCCAAGAGUUCACAUCGACGGGGAGGUUUGGCACCUCGAUGUCGGCUCAUCGCAACCUGGAGCGGUAGUACGUUCCAAGGGUUGGGCUGUUCGCCCAUGAAAGCGGUACGUGAGCUGGGUUCAGAACGUCGAGAGACAGUUCGGUCCAUAUCCGGUGUAAGCGGUGGAGUAUUGAAAGGAACUUUUUCUAGUACGAGAGGACCGAAAAGGACACACCAAUGGUGUACCAGUUCUUAUGCCAAUAGGACACGCUGGGUAGCUAUGUGUGGA
Molecule: ribosomal RNA, 1695 nt
Filed under: Lepocinclis marssonii
Lineage: Eukaryota; Euglenozoa; Euglenophyceae; Euglenales; Phacaceae
Description: partial large subunit ribosomal RNA
Rfam family: Bacterial large subunit ribosomal RNA
Source: RNAcentral